CCGAACACAUGAACAAGAGCACAGAAAAACAAACAAAUGGAUGGGAAAACUAUGAGUUGUUUUUUCAUUUUGCUUUUGCUUCUAGGAAAUUACACUCAAACUGAUGCUUACCUUUUCAUAGAGAACUGCCAAAGCCAUCUUAUUGGAGACUUGACAUGCACGAAGUGGUCAUGCUGGGGGGACUGUAUAAAAUAUUAUUUUGGAAAGAAAAUUAAGCAAUAUUAUUGCGUACGCAAGUCCAUGGCUCGCUAUUGCGUAUGUGUCAUAUGUGACUAGAAAUACAAUAUGGUUAUCGAUGCAUAUACCAUCAAGUGUCUGGAAUAAAAUGUAUAUAAGUAAUAAAGUUCAUAAUAUAUGUU
Molecule: long non-coding RNA, 359 nt
Organism: Triticum aestivum (bread wheat)
Lineage: Eukaryota; Viridiplantae; Streptophyta; Magnoliopsida; Poales; Poaceae
Exons: 2
Source: RefSeq, a predicted model, not a curated record